Molecule: small RNA, 33 nt
Filed under: Propionibacterium australiense
Lineage: Bacteria; Bacillati; Actinomycetota; Actinomycetes; Propionibacteriales; Propionibacteriaceae
Description: CRISPR_Spacer
Source: RNAcentral
GUCAAGAACAGCUCGUACACCUCGAGGACCGCG